GACCUAAAGGAACGUUUAAGACUAAGACGUUGAUAGGCUGGAUGUGUAAGCGUAGCGAUACGUUGAGCUAACCAGUACUAAUGAACCGUGAGGCUUAACCUG
This 102-nucleotide ribosomal RNA is filed under the name Proteus mirabilis. RNAcentral's name for it is "partial 23S ribosomal RNA". It matches the Rfam family "Bacterial large subunit ribosomal RNA", at positions 2824 to 2925 of the family's 2925-position model. Lineage: Bacteria; Pseudomonadati; Pseudomonadota; Gammaproteobacteria; Enterobacterales; Morganellaceae. The record is from RNAcentral.